AACGUGCCCUUUGGUUCGGAACAACUCAGGGAAACUUGAGCUAAUACCGGAUGUGCCCUUCGGGGGAAAGAUUUAUCGCCAUUGGAGCGGCCCGCGUCUGAUUAGCUAGUUGGUGGGGUAAAGGCCCACCAAGGCGACGAUCAGUAGCUGGUCUGAGAGGAUGAUCAGCCACAUUGGGACUGAGACACGGCCCAAACUCCUACGGGAGGCAGCAGUGGGGAAUAUUGCACAAUGGGCGAAAGCCUGAUGCAGCCAUGCCGCGUGAAUGAUGAAGGCCUUAGGGUUGUAAAGUUCUUUCACCGGGGACGAUAAUGACGGUACCCGGAGAAGAAGCCCCGGCUAACUUCGUGCCAGCAGCCGCGGUAAUACGAAGGGGGCUAGCGUUGCUCGGAAUUACUGGGCGUAAAGGGAGCGUAGGCGGACUGUUAAGUCAGAGGUGAAAGCCCAGGGCUCAACCUUGGAAUUGCCUUUGAUACUGGCAGUCUUGAGUACGGAAGAGGUAUGUGGAACUCCGAGUGUAGAGGUGAAAUUCGUAGAUAUUCGGAAGAACACCAGUGGCGAAGGCGGCAUACUGGUCCGUUACUGACGCUGAGGCUCGAAAGCGUGGGGAGCAAACAGGAUUAGAUACCCUGGUAGUCCACGCCGUAAACGAUGAGUGCUAGUUGUCGGCAUGCAUGCAUGUCGGUGACGCAGCUAACGCAUUAAGCACUCCGCCUGGGGAGUACGGUCGCAAGAUUAAAACUCAUAGGAAUUGACGGGGGCGCGCACAAGCGGUGGAGCAUGUGGUUUAAUUCGAAGCAACGCG
Molecule: ribosomal RNA, 805 nt
Filed under: Caulobacter sp.
Lineage: Bacteria; Pseudomonadati; Pseudomonadota; Alphaproteobacteria; Caulobacterales; Caulobacteraceae
Description: bacterial SSU rRNA
Rfam family: Bacterial small subunit ribosomal RNA
Source: RNAcentral